GACGAACGCUGGCGGUGUGCUUAACACAUGCAAGUCGAACGGUAAGGCCCUUUCGGGGGUACACGAGUGGCGAACGGGUGCGUAACACGUGAGUAACCUGCCCUCAUCUCUGGGAUAACAGUCGGAAACGGUUGCUAAUACUGGAUAUGAGCUUGCAAGGCAUCUUGUGGGUUGGAAAGAUUUUUUUUGGUUGGGGAUGGACUCGCGGCCUAUCAGCUUGUUGGUGAGGUAGUGGCUCACCAAGGCUUCGACGGGUAGCCGGCCUGAGAGGGCGACCGGCCACAUUGGGACUGAGAUACGGCCCAAACUCCUACGGGAGGCAGCAGUGGGGAAUAUUGCACAAUGGACGGAAGUCUGAUGCAGCAACGCCGCGUGCGGGAUGACGGCCUUCGGGUUGUAAACCGCUGUCAAUUGUGACGAAGCUUUUUUGUGACGGUAGCAGUAGAAGAAGCACCGGCUAACUACGUG
RNAcentral lists this ribosomal RNA (468 nucleotides) under uncultured bacterium. RNAcentral describes it as "partial 16S ribosomal RNA". It matches the Rfam family "Bacterial small subunit ribosomal RNA", at positions 28 to 507 of the family's 1533-position model. The record is from RNAcentral.